UACGUAGGGUGCAAGCGUUGUCCGGAAUUAUUGGGCGUAAAGAGCUCGUAGGCGGUUUGUCACGUCGGAUGUGAAAACUCGGGGCUCAACCCCGAGCCUGCAUUCGAUACGGGCAGACUUGAGUUCGGCAGGGGAGACUGGAAUUCCUGGUGUAGCGGUGAAAUGCGCAGAUAUCAGGAGGAACACCGAUGGCGAAGGCAGGUCUCUGGGCCACUACUGACGCUGAGAAGCGAAAGCGUGGGGAGCGAACAGG
This 253-nucleotide ribosomal RNA is filed under the name uncultured bacterium. RNAcentral's name for it is "partial 16S ribosomal RNA". It matches the Rfam family "Bacterial small subunit ribosomal RNA", at positions 524 to 776 of the family's 1533-position model. The record is from RNAcentral.